RNAcentral lists this long non-coding RNA (824 nucleotides) under Homo sapiens (human). RNAcentral describes it as "HSALNT0316975". The record is from RNAcentral. Lineage: Eukaryota; Metazoa; Chordata; Mammalia; Primates; Hominidae.
GCUACUGCCGCCGCCGCCGCUGUUGCCGCUGGUGCCGCUGCCGCCGCCGCUGCUCAUGAUCAUUAUUUUACCUUUUAAUUCUUUUUUUUUCCGCUCUUGCCAAAUGCUUUGGCUCCAAGUUUUCUAUGUGUAUCUAUUGAUAUAAAUGUAUAUAUUUAUUUAUUCUAGCUGUCAGGUGUUAAAAUAAAUGCCGAAGAUUAGUCCCACGUCUCUCCCACCAUAGGAUAUAGAUUGUUAUGUAUUUAUUAUUAUUAUUGUUGUCUUUGAGUGAAUCGGCCGGUUUGGGGAGGCUUUUGCCACCCUCCCUUGUGUUGUUUUGGUUUUUGGAAAGGAGGUGGAGGAGAGGAAGGAGGGGAAUUAGGGGGCGGCCGGAGCAGAGAGGACGAGACAGUGCUUGGGGGGUGAUUCGGGCUAGUCUGGGGGCUGUCUGGCCCCAGACCGCGGAGAGGACGCGCGCUCGCGCUCUCGCUCUUUCUGCUGCUGCUUGCGUACGGCUUGUGAUCUCUCUGGAUUCGUGCGGCUGUGUUUUUUCCCUCUUUUCUCGCUUGCAAACUGCUUUCCUUGCUCCGUCGCUCCUGGCCUCCGCUUCCCUCCCUCCUCUUUUUCCUCGCCUCUUCUUCCUUCCCUUCCCCUGUCCUUCUGGGUAACUCCGGGAGGCAAAAAGGGAGGCUGCCCGCUCGCUCGCCCCGCUGGCUCUCUUCCAUCGGCCUCGGUCUUUUAGAUUCCCUGCCUUCGAGCCGAACCGAGAUUUGGAAGGAAAAAAUGCAAGCGAACUCUUUGGGUUUUUGUUUUUGUUUUUUUGGUCAUAAAUCCAGAUGAGAUGA